AACCCUCACUUUUCCUUCUCACUACCAUAACUCCUCCGUCCGGUCUCCGAUCGCUGCACCGUUCGCAGCCACGCGUUUAGCGCGUCGAGCUUUACCUUUCUAUUUGAACAAUUUCACUGGUUCAAGUUAGCUUCCGGAACUUGUGGGCUCAAGCUAUUGAGCAUAUGGGUAUGGUGUAGAUUAAGUGGGUAUAUAUGCACUGGAAUUGAAUUGGGAAUACUUGGAGGCUUUUUGGUGGUCAAGGCUUGUUUUGAUUGAGUUUGGAGGGGCUGUGAUUUGUGUUGUGAGGCUGUCUUGGGUGAUACAAAGUGAUCGGUCAAGGUAUGGUUUAAGUUUCGCACGUUUAAUAUUUACGGUGUUGUGAAAACUUAGGUUAGAAGAACCAUAGGAUAAAUUGAAUUGUUUGUUGUAUUUAAUGAUUAGCCUUGUAAUGUAGUUGGAAUAGAUUUGUUGGUGGAUAUAUAUUGGAAUUAUGAGGUGUGGAAGUUAUUAAUGGUAUGCUCUUGUAUUUAUUUAUGAUGGAUUAUGGUUGGUGUUUGUUAAUAAGGAUGUAGAGUUGUGUUGUGGUGGUAUUGCAUAUGCUGUAACUAAUUCUGUGAAGAUCGGAAUUGCGUGGAACCAAGUCCUGGUUAAACCUUGUUAUAUUUGGAACUGAACUGGAGAAUUUGGGAUCUUUUCGUUAAAUAUAUGAUUUAUGGUGAAUUUUCAAAUUGUAAUCGUGGAAUCUGAUUUUUACUGCAUAAUUUUUAGAACAGCAGUAACUUGUUGGCUCUGCUGCGAAUGUUUCAAAAUGAAUUUUGAAAUGAAACUAAUUUUAAAUAAAGCUUUAUUCCUAUUAUUUUAAUGUCGUAAAAUUUCAGAAUGGUUGGACUUGUGGUUUUAAAGAUAUGAAUUUUUAAAAUACAAUGCAUUAUACAAUAAAAGCCAGAUUCUGUUUUCUUAGAUCAGCAA
Arachis ipaensis is the source of this 951-nucleotide non-coding RNA. The record is from RefSeq and is a predicted model, not a curated record. NCBI's taxonomy places the organism in Eukaryota, Viridiplantae, Streptophyta, Magnoliopsida, Fabales, Fabaceae.